Long non-coding RNA from Podarcis raffonei (Aeolian wall lizard), 1006 nucleotides. RefSeq lists it as uncharacterized. NCBI's taxonomy places the organism in Eukaryota, Metazoa, Chordata, Lepidosauria, Squamata, Lacertidae. The transcript has 5 exons. The record is from RefSeq and is a predicted model, not a curated record.
GUCAGUGUUGCUUUGGUAGAGCUCAAGAAGUAGGAGGAUGACUGUGGCAUUCGUACGGAGCCCCCGGUCGUCUCACGGAUUAUUGAGCCUUACACCACUAAUCCGCUGCCACCAACCAGGUCCUCCCCGGUAAAUCACUUAGUCUCAGUCAGGUUCUUAAGUUAACAAAGAGUGUAGUUUAUUGCAGACACAAAUAAACUUUAACUGCAUUCAAAACGUUGUUACUCUUUACCUUCUUAGUCUUAUUUUUAUCCGGUCUCUAACUCUUCUACCUCCCCUCAUGCAAGAACCAACUGCACUAACUGUCUCUCUAAUUCCAACUGUCUGCCAACUGCUUUCCCAACUGCCUUUCCCAACCAACCAAACCACGAAAACCAACCAACUACCCACCUAACACAAACCUCGGGCGAAGCUCUUUUAUGAACAGGUCUAAAUUGAGCCGCUUCUGAAAUAAGCAAUAAGAGAAUGUCAAGUCUUAAGUGAAAGCAAGUCCCUGAAGAGUGAUUUGAAGUAAUUGUGCUUGUCCCCAUAAAGUCAAAGAAUUCAAGAGAAGCAGAGAAGGGGGUGCCUUGCCGCUUCUGUUGGAAAAGGGGUGUGGUUUAAACAGACUGGUCACCACGCCCCUUCCCAUUGUCCCCUGCUCCUUUCCCUGCAAGGGUUCAGGGAUGUCCUGCGGUUCUCUUGAAGACUUUUAAGACUGGACUUGGGGAAAACCUCACCGGCUCCAGACAUCCCUGUAAGGCAAAGGCAAACAGGGAUGUCCUGCGGUUCUCUUGAUGACUUUUAAGACUGGACUUGGGGAAAACCUCACCGGCUCCAGACAUCCCUGUAAGGCAAAGGCAAACAGGUGAGUGGGAUGGCCAACACCCGACAGCGUCCCCCCAGAUUCCUCCUCUGUUUGGCUGCCUGUUAACAAACAAGGCUUCCAAACCAGUUUGCACCCAUCUCAGCCAGCGUAGCCUCACAACAUCCACUAGCCUGAAUGCAAACUCUUCUGACAACCAUC